AGCUGAUAUUUGUUUACAUACCGGUUUCAAUCAAGUUUCAUACCGAGCAGUGCGAAACAUCAAUUGAAAAUCUUUAAUUGUGGGAUAUUUACAGGAGAAGUGGAGAAAUAGAAUAAUUAGAAGGAAUUGUUUUAAUUGUUUAUGAUAUAUUAACUUUUAAGAUCUUUUGUAAGCUAAUUUAGUGAUAUCCAGGAAGUGAUUGUGCAAGUUUUUAAAGUUCACAUUUUAUACUGCUGAAGUAAACCGAAUCAUAUUUAAGCAAGCGAGGUAGAAGUAUAGUUUAAAAUCUUUGAAAACAACUUUUAAAUAAGGUAUAGUUAUUGUACUAAGUAAAUGUAUAAAUUACACUUUGAUGACGUAAUGACAUGACUUAUGUUAGUGAUAUUACAUAUAACGUUUCAUCAAAAUCAUCUGUUUGGCAACAAACUGGAGAGCAUUUGGACUUUGAUGAUGCAACAAGCCAUCACAUUUGUUAUUCAUAAAAAUUGUUACUUGGACAUACGUAUAUAAGGAGUUGAAAUUUAGUUAGAGUUGUGAUAAAAAAAUUGUUUCGUUAAAAGUUAAAAAAUGAAUUCAUCCGGUGCGCCAAAGCUGCCGAAAUCUCACAGACAUGGAAGAUGCGGAUCAGCAUCAUGUCCACAUAUGGUGCAAGCCCCAACGGUCAUCUCAAUGGUGGGCCUACCUGCCCGUGGAAAGACGUACAUGUCGAAGAAGCUCACUCGAUACCUAAACUGGAUCGGUAUACGAACUAAAGUGUUCAAUGUCGGUGAAUAUAGAAGGGCAGCCACAGACAAGUAUCGAAACCAUGCAUUUUUUGAUAUGGCCAACACAGAAGCCGUAGCGAUUCGACAGAAAUGUGCUUUGAUGGCAAUAGAUGAUGCCUGCAAAUUUUUACACAGCGGUGGAGAGGUGGCGGUUAUAGAUGCAACUAACACAACAAGAGAGCGACGGCGGUUGUUAAAUGAUAUCAUCUGUAAUAAAAAUGGGUUUCGUUUAUUCUUUGUGGAGUCUAUAUGUGAUGACCUUAAUAUAAUAGAGGCAAAUAUACUUGAAGUGAAAGUAUGCAGUCCAGACUACCUUGGUAUGGAUAAAAACGAAGCAGUUGAGGACUUCAUGCAGCGUAUAGAACAUUACAGACAAAACUACCAGUCUAUGGAUUAUACGUAUGACAAAGAUCUGUCUUUUAUACAAAUCUUCAAUCAGGGUGAAAGAUUCCUUGUAAAUAAACUUGCAGGGCAUUUACAAAGUAGAGUUGUAUAUUAUUUAAUGAAUAUACAUGUGUUACCGAGGACCAUAUAUCUGACACGGCAUGGCGAAAGCAUGAUGAAUCUCCAGGGUAGGAUUGGAGGGGACAGUGAGCUCUCCCCUAGGGGCAUGGAGUAUGCCAAAGAGCUUGCCAAGUUUGUAGAAAAUGAGAAAAUUCCAAAUUUAAAGGUGUGGACAAGUGAGCUUACAAGAACUAUACAGACAGCCCAGUUUAUAGAUGGUCCAAAAGCUCACUGGAAAGCUCUUAAUGAAAUAGAUGCUGGUAUAUGUGAAGGGUUUACGUAUGAAGAAAUAGCAGAGAAAUAUCCAGAGGAGUUUGCCAAAAGGGACCAAGAUAAAUAUCACUAUAGAUACCCAACAGGAGAGUCAUAUCAAGAUCUGGUAGCGAGAUUAGAACCUGUUAUCAUGGAAUUGGAGCGACAAGAAAAUGUAAUGGUUGUGUGUCACCAGGCAGUCGCAAGAUGUCUGCUUGCUUACUUUCAGGACAAGUCGUCAGGGGAAAUCCCUUACGUUCCUGUCCCCCAACAAUCGUUAGUGAAAAUGAAGUUGACGGGAAUUGGCGAAUGUGAGAUGGAAGUAGUGCCAAUACUCAGAGGAUCUGGCGUACCUGAAAGUUCCGCUCCACACAGUGAUAAAGCUAACGCCAGUGGCUUAUGGCUGUAGGGUAGAAUUCGAAAGCCUAAAUAUACCGGCUGUAAAUACGCACAGGGAACGCCCUGCGAAUACAGAGCUGAACAGAUCCAUAGAUGAUGCUAUGUCAACUGUACCACCAGUAGAUGAAGUCGAAGGGGAGGAAACAGAUAUUAUUAAUGAGCAGGAGGACCCACCUGUAGUCUAGUGCAUCGAUAACAACCCGCUAGAGGACCCGCCUGUAGUCUGUUGUUUACAUGUUGCAGCUACCAGAUAAACAUGUUCCUAGAUUGCAUAGAAACUGCUUUUGAUGUCUGUCUUGAGCCAUCUUUUGACAUUAAUACUCAUCUGUAUAAAAACAGCUUUUGGUAUCUGUGAAAAUCCUACUUUUGAUGUCAGCAAAUUUCUGCUGUUCAUAUCAAUACAAAAAAAUGCUUUUGAACAAAACUUUUGCUGUCAGUAAGAUGCUUUAUGCUCCCCAAAUUCGAGUUUCCCCUGUCGCUCAGUAAGGAGAGGGCAAAUAUAUAGAUCGUGGGGUCAUGAGUUUGAUCCCCGGACAGGUCUAUGUUCUCCGACGAUUUGAUGAAAGGCUUUGUGUCUGAAAUCAUCCGUCCUCCACAUUUGAUUCAUGUGGGGAAGUUGGCAGUUACUUGUGGAGAACAGGUGUUUACUGGUACAGAAUCCAGGAAUGCUGAUUAGGUAUAUUGCCGGCAAUUACUGAAAUACUGUUGAAAAACGGCAAACAAACAAACAAACAGAUAUAAUCUUCAUGUAAAUUGUUGACACUUGCCCGCUUUUGACAAACAUGCUUUAACUGCAAAUAAUCUGAAUGUAGGAAUUACUUUAGAUGACAACCUGAUUGCAGUAUCUGAGUAUGGUUUCAAUAGGAGAAAUUGCAAUUGGUUUUAAGAAUGGAAAUUGCCCCAUUUCAAUAGAAAUUGCAAUUGGUUUUAAGAAUGGAAAUUGCCCUAUUUCAAUAGAAAUUGCAAUUGGUUUUAAGAAUAGAAAUUGCCCUAUUUUAAUAGAAAUUGCAAUUGGUUUUAACAGUAGAUAUUUCCCUAAUUUCAAUUUAUUGUAAAUAUGAAUAUUUUUAGGCAUACUAGGCAUACUACAAAACAUGGAGUGGAGUCGUGGAGUGGAGUCAUGGAGUGGAGUGGUGGAGUGGAGUCAAAAUUGGAGUGGAGUCGUGGAGUGGAGUCAAAUUUGGAGUGGAGUCAAAUUUUGGAGUGGAGUCAAAUUUGGAGUGGAGUCAUUGAGUCAAAAUUUUGAAAUGUUGUAUUAAGCCUGUGAAGCUCCAUCUAAAUUCCUGUUAACAAAAUAAUUGAUUUAUUGCCCUUUGGAGAAAAUGCGAGUCAGUAUAUAAUAUAAUAUAUUUCUGAAAAAAUAAAUGUAGUGUCUAUGUUCUAGUUCCAUGUAUUUCUAACACCUACCAUGCGGUUGAUUAAAUAUUUAAAGGUUUUAUUAGGGUAUAUUGGAUGGUUGUUGCCUACAUUAAUUUUCAUUUUAAGUGACAGGAGAAAGGACGUGCAUUAUCAUAGUGGUGUCAAUUCCAAUUAAAAAUGAUGAAAAAAAUUUGUAGCAUUUUAUGAUGUAGCACUGGAUUUAUUAUUCAAAUUUGAAAUGGCAUUUGCUUUUAUAUGUUAAAUGUUCAUCACAUGGAGAUAACAUGUUAUUUUUCUUGUUUUUUUUUUCUUGUUAAUAUUAAAAAUAACAGACUUUUAGGUGAAACUUUAUAAAAUACAUGUUUCUUAUCUGUGAAAUGCAUUUGAGACCACUCGGAUGAAGGGGCUAUUGGAAUCAUUAGGUCAAUGUGACCAUUUGAAGAGAAUUUUCUUUUAAGCAUUACAAGCAACAGCCCAUUUCUUAACGAUCUUACCAUCACACUUGCACCAGAUUUUAAUUCUUCAUAUCAUUUGGAUUGAUGCAGAAAUGAAAGUGUAAACAUGGGAAUCAUUUUAUUUUUUAUAGAUCAAGGCCUUAUAGCUCUGACUCUGCUAGACUUUUUAGUCUGAUUUGCCUUGUAAUCACUCCUGAUCUAGAUCUAGAUCUUAAGAUCACUUCAUAUUGUAUAUAAAUAUGAUUAGGAUUCCAAAAGAAAUCAAGAUACAUGUAAUGUACUAGAUCUAACAAGGUGAUAUGUAACAAAUUGUGUUAUACUGAAGGGGCGACAACUCUUGACUUACAGUAUACAGGUGUAGCCCAGAAUCAAACUUGGCUGAGAUUUUAAGAUUACAUGUGCAUUGUAUUUUAUUUUGAUAUGUGUGUACAUAGAUGAAAUAGUAAUAAAUUAACUAAAUUAUUUGCCCAGUAUAUUUCCAGAAGGUAUUUAGCUACCUGUGAUAAACACAGAAUGGUGAAAAUCAAUGAAAAAUCCAAGUAAUAGACAGUUUUGGAUGGCAGAAACAUACCAUAGAAGUGGUAAACUUAGCAAGGUGGAAAUUUUGGCAAAUUGUAAAAAUUCGCUAAUAUUUGUAAAUAAAAUUGUAAUGUACCAUAACAAUGUAUUAUCAUUACAUAAGUCAGGAAGUCAGAAAUUUGCUAAAAAUUUGUGCACCCCAAACAGAUGGAUUUCAAAAAUUGUUAACUUUUUGACACUCAGAAAUACGAGGGUCGUUCAAUAAAUAAUGCUACUCCAUGUGUAGUUCCUUAACUGGUGGUUAUUUUUCAGUGCGGUUUUACACUGUAAAGCAAUUUUUUGGGAACAAAGUAACAUCGGAAUAAAAAAAUCGUUAAAGCCAAAUUAUUAAAAAAUAAUUAUUUGAAUGAGGUGUACAUGCUGGUUACUGGAGCAUAUCAAAAAAUAAUCAUAACUUCGGUUUGACCUGGGCAUCCAGGUCUCAGAAUAAUAGAAUAACUUGUGAAAUCUCAUAAUUCUAUCAUUUUUGUACGAGAUACAGCAAUUUGUGAUGAGUUUGAGUUUGAGUUUGUUUUUAAACACUUAUUGCGUUUUUCAUUUUACAAGACAACUAAAACAUCUUAACUCUAGGUUAAUUCCAUCUGAAAUGAGUCUCGCUAGCGGUUAAUCUUAAGUUGUAAGAACUUGUUUCGCAAUCGAAAAUAAAGAAAUUAGUGUAAACUUAAAAUACAAGAAUUUUUUCAACGAUCAACAUCACACCUGACAAAAUUGCAGAGGCUUAUUGUAUUCAACUCCUCAUUUUUUGAGUAAAAAUGUGCAACCAUUUAAUACAGUAACACUAAAUUGUGGGUUGCUAUAAUGGAAAAAUGUUUCAUUGUAGCAACCUGCAGCCCGCAAAAUAUAUACAUGUACACAAAAUUGCGGGUUUCGGGCUGCAGGUCGCGGGUUGAUACAAUAGAAAUUUUGUCAGCAAUAAAAUUAAUGAAUUUAACACACCAACAUGCAUGCUACUUAUUUUUUUAUUUACCCGAGCUAAACGGUAGUCAAUAUUGCAAUAUCAGUGGACAUAAACAAUUUUAAACACUAAUAAUGCAUAAUCACAAAUAUUAAAUUAUUUAUGUAACAAGUUUAAAUAUCUAAAUUUUAUCUGACUCAUAAAUACCUCUUGUUUAUUUUAAAUUAAAUACUGUUGAAAUAAUUCAUCUAAUAAGAUAAUUAAACUUGUAAAUUGAUAUUGAUAUUUGGUAUUUAGAAUGGGACUGAAAGGUUCUCAUAAUAAAUCUGUCAACAAGUUUUGAAAAUGAUCUAAGGCCAAGUGAAAAAUUUGUUAAGUAAAACAACAAAAACAACAAACUUCAAUAAAAAAAAAAAAACACUGAUGAGGAGUGUUAUAUUUGUUCACUGAUAAAGGUUAUGAAAAAUUAUGUCUAUUAUUAUACCCAACCCAUCAGAGAAUACAUCAAGUAGUAAUUAGAACAUGCUCCUACAGUUGUUCAGUUGGAACUUAGUUUUGGAAACUUGGUUAUUACUUUUUACCAGUAUUUUAUACUGUGGUCUAUUUGAAUAUGUUCCCAUGGGUUGACCGCCUUUUGAUUUGUUUACAACUGUUCUCAAAUAAAUAAAUUUGUAUUUCAUAUCUAUUACCGUGUUCAGACUACGUUUUUAAUCCUACAUUAACUUGGGUUUAUUUUUUAAACUAGUUUGCGUCCACACUAUAUGUGGUGUAAAACGUGAAUUUUGUAAAGGUCAAGUGGUUUCUGUAAUGUAGCAUUAAAACUACCUCAGGAGGUGGUUUUAAUACUACAUUAAAAAGUAAUGCUACAUUAUUUUACAAAUGUGAACGCAAAUGUGGGUUAUAACUGGUUUUACAAUCCCAAAUCCACAGAUCUUACCUUUUGGAGGAAGAAUACCAUGUGUUUCUCUUUUGUAUCAAACAAUUGAUGCUGUGGCUGGCAAAAUUAAUUGGACUGUUGUUGAAACAAAAACAUUAAAUUGCGAUAUGGAGUCAUGCUGACGCUCAAAAUGGACAAUAGAUGGAAUGAACAGAAAUUCUUAGAUGAACACAGAAGUUUAAUAUUGAUGACCCCUUCUUGUUUCUGUUAGCUUCAAUUCUUUGUAACCUUUUUUGCUUAUUGCAAGAUAUCUGUUAACUUCCAACAUUGCAUGUAUAUAUUUAAACCACAUUUCUUUGCCUAGUGUGGACGCAAACUGGAUUAUAUUUUGAUGGGUUUUGAAUGUCAAAUACCAAUUAUAGCCAAUUAGUGCCUAAUAAAAAUAAAACCGUUCGGCUAGUGUGAACACGGUAAUGUGAUGCUUUAAAAUCUCUUCAAAAACAAUGAGAUAAAAUAUACUGACAAUUAACAAUUUGACCAAGCCCUCUGUUCCGUGUGGCUACAAUCAAUGUAAGACAAAAGCAUUAUUAUGUUGAAUAGUUAUAAAAAUAUCAAUAAAUAAAUAUUAUUGAUAAAACAAAUUUGACUCCACUCCAUGACUCCACUCCAUGACUCCACUCCAAUUUUGACUCCACUCCACUCCAAAUUUGACUCCACUCCAUGACUCCACUCCAAUUUUGACUCCACUCCACCACUCCACUCCAUGACUCCACUCCACGACUCCACUCCAUGUUAUGUAGUAUGCCAUAUUUUUAUGACGUUUUACGAAAACAAUAAAAUGCAUCUUAAUUAUUACCUCCCUUUAUUAUAUAUAAAAUUUUGAUAAAUACUGUCUGCAGGUUUUGUUUGGAACGUAAUUUGAUUAAUUCUGGCAUAUAUUGUAUUCGCUAAAUAAAUUAGCACAUAAUAUUAUAAACAGUUAGAUUACUUUUUUAAAUGUUCAAUUAUCUUGUUAAUAAUUUAAUGUCUUUCCUUCACAUAGAUAACAAAGUGUGCCUUUAUCGUGGCUUUAUGAAUUUUAAAAUGAAUCUCUGUUAGAUUCUACCUUUAAAACUUUUGUAUUUGAAUCUUCAAUAAUUAACUGUUAUUUCCACUUCUUUGAAUAUCAUUUACUGGCCGAGUCUCUGUGGAAAUUCAUGUAUCAUUUGAUCCAGUUAAUUAAUGAUGAGUUUAUGUGUAUUAUCUAAAUUAUAACGUCUACAACUAUUACAUUGAAAAAUAGUAUAAUAAUGUAUAUUAUUUAACAUUCAUAGACGUAUUAUUUCAUGAUGCACUUCUAUCAGCCAUUUAUGGCGUCUGAACGUCGAUGUCCAUUUGGCGCGUCAACGUCAUCUCCGUAUUUCACGUAUCAUUGUGUAUGUUAUUGUCAACUGAAGAAGCUUAUUAAAGCGAAACAUGUUUUGACGAAACUGUGUUGGUUUAUGAAUUUUCAACAUCAUACCUAAUUUCAAUAGAAAUUGCUGUAGAUCAGUGAAACUGCUACUGGUAUCAACUAGAAGAUGGGAUUUUGUUUUGGCUAAAGAAAAUGUUAUAUUCAAUGACAGAAACUGCUGUUAAAUUUUAUUGUUGAUACGAGGAUAAUUGUUGAUUACGAAAGCCAAGCAGAGUAUUUUUUAUUCAUUCAAUGUAGACUGUGCGAUAUUUACAAUGUUUUUAUUUUCUAUGAUAUUCACAAAUAAUUUUACCCAUGAAUUCAGAAUUGUUUGUCAAUGUGCAUCAUGUCAUAAAACACAAAACAUUUUGUGUAUCCAAAAUUUUUAGCACGGUGAAUAAGCCUGUUAACCAUGAAAUUGCUAUAUAGUCUACAUGAAAAUAACCGAUUAAUAAUGGGAGUCCUUUUUAUACCAUAGAGUGCUGUGUGAUAUGAAUAGUCUUCCUGGGUAAUGUAGUUUUUGCUUUACUUAUCUAAAUACUUAAGAAUAAUGUUCAUAUUUCACUCCCAUUAUUGCAUGGUUAAGGCACUUUUAUAGGUUUUACCUAAGUUAUCACCUUAAUUUGAUAAAAAAAAAUUUAUAUAAAUUUUUACCAGGGCUCCAGAAAUUUUGAUAACUCAAUCGGUCCGAAACGAAAAUCCAGACAUCGGCGCUACCCCACCCACCGCAUUACCAAUACACCAUAUUUUGUAAAACGCGAUAAAGCAAAGAAAUAAGCAUGUCAUGCAUUAAAACUGAGUUACCGGUCACCGUGAGUUACCUUACAAUGAAGACAGUUAUUCAGUGUUAUAUGUGAUUGUUUCUUUGUUUAUAUUUCGAUGUUUUCCGAGAAAAUACUUGCAAGGAUAAAAUUGUCGAGGCAUUGACACCGUGUACGAAACUAGUCUAAAAGCCAACGCACGUGACUUCGAUACUGUAUACACGGCAGAUACCUUGUGAUGUUUCCUCAUUUUUUUUACGGAAUUUUAUAAAAUACAAUGCAUUAAAGUGAAUUACACGACACAUAUUCUCUUCUAAACAGCCAUACUCUGCCACGGGCCGAAUGUGUAUGUUAUGUGAAUGCUGAGAUCGAAUUCCCCACAUGCAGAAGGUCACGCGGGUUGGCCACGGAUAUUUUAUUUUAUUGGCGUUGUACUUUAAUAAGCAACUACAUUUUAUUAAGUUAUUUGUUCUCUUCUGAUGUAAACAAAAUUUCAAUUUGAAACGUUUUUUAAAAGACCGAUUUGAUAAACAGCGCUACUCCGGUUUUCUUAAUCAUUCAAGUUUGCCAGUCCAUUUUUGAUUCUUUUUAUUUGUACAGUCGGGUUGCAAAGACGAUUUUCUGCACUUGUUUCAACUCGAGCCCCCACAAAUAAAUAAUGUAUUUUUUACAAAUCAAAUAAUUAUAAAAAAUAUUUUUAUCGGUUUCCCGUGUGAUGUCUCAUUAAAUGCAAUGACCAUUUGUUUAUUUUUACCAAUCUUCAAAAUAAAACAAUCCGUCGGCUAAUGAUAUAAAUAAAAGAAGUGGGUCCCCGUCAAAAGCAUUUGGAUCCAGUCAGAAGCAUCUCGAAACCAGUCAAAAAUGUUUAAUACGUUGCAGUCGGCUGCCUGCAAACCACGCGAGCACUGUUGUGUCACGUGCUAAAUACGGACCGAUUACCAAGGUGACAAUCAGACCAUUUGACAAGUUUAUUGAUUAUCUGAGGGGUGCGACUAACAAUUUCCUGCUUGGCAGAUGAUCAUGUAUUGAGAUUUCAGACCGAAAUUUAUACAUUUUCUCCAUUUUUACGGGACCGAUUUUUUUUGUUUUUUCACUUCAUGAAUUGGUCUGAAAAGUCAAAAAUCAGUCCAAAACCGACAAACCGGCAAAUUUCCAGAGCCCUGAUUUUUACAUUGAGUGAAAUAAACCUUCAUUUGAUCUAAAUGUUUAAAUCAAGCCAGGUACCACUUUGUGACCGCUCAAUGUCUGACGUCCGUCGUCCGUCGUGUGUCCGUCAACAUUUUCUAAAAAAAAUCUUCUUCUUGAAAACCACAGGGCAGAAUUACACCAAACUUCACAGGAAUAAUCCUUGGGUGGCCCCCUUUCAAAAUUGUUCAAAGAAUUGAAUUCCAUGCAGAACUCUGUUUGCCAUGACAACCGAAAGGAAAAACUUUAAAAAUCUUUUUCUCAAAAACCAGAAGCCCUAGAGCUUAAAUAUUUGAUAUGAAGCAUUGCCUAGUAGACCUCUAGCAAGUUUGUUCAAAUCAUGACCCCGCCCCAGGGGUCACUUGAUUUUACAUAGGAAAAUCUUAAAAAAUCUUCUUCUCAAAAAUCUGUUUGCCAUGACAACCGAAAGGAAAAACUUUAAAAAAUCUUUUUCUCAAAAACCAGAAGCCCUAGAGCUUAGAUAUUUGACGUGAAGCAUUGCCUAGUGAACCUCUACUAAAAUUGUUCAAAUCAUGACCCCGGGGUCAAAAUUGACCCCACCCCAGGGGUCACUUGUUUGUACAUAGGAAAAUCUUCAAAAAAAUUCUAAAAAUAAACCAGAAAGCCUAGGGCUUAGAUAUUUCACAUGUAGCAUUGCCUUAUGGACCUCUACAAAAUUUAUUCAAAUCAUGACCCCCGGGGUCAGAAUUGACCCAGCCCAAGGGGUCACUUGAUUUUACAUAGGAAAAUCUUCAAAAUUUUUCUAAAAAUAAACAAGAAGGCCUAGAUGUUAGAUAUUUGACAUGUAGCAUUGCCUAGUAGACUUCUACAAAAAAAUUUCAAAUCAUGACCCCUGGGGUCAAAUUGACCCUGCCCCUUGGGGUUACUUGAUUUUACAUAGGGAAAUCUUCAUAAAUUUGCUAAAAAUAAACCAGAAAGCUUAGGUCUUAGAUAUUUGAUAUGUAACAUUGCCUAGUAGACUUCUACAAGCUUUGUUCAAAUCACGACCCCCGGGGUAAAAUUGGCCCCGCCCCAGGGGUUACUUGAUUGGAAAAUUUUCCAAAAAAAAUUCUAAAAAUCAACAGUUUGACUUUUGAAACAUGUAGCUCAUAUUACUCAGGUGAGCGAUCCAGGGUCAACAUGACCCUCUUGUUAUGUUAAUGUUUACAUCAAGCCAGGUACCACUUUAUUUUUGAUGUAAAUGUUUACAUCAAGCCAGGUAUCACUUUAUUUUGGAUGUUAAUGUUUACAUCAAGCCAGGUACCACUAUAUUUUGAUGUAAAUGUUUACAUCAAGCCAGGUACCACUUUAUUUUGAUGUUAAUGUUUACAUCAAGCCAGGUACCACUUUAUUUUUUAUGUAAAUGUUUAUAUCAAGCCAGGUACCACUUUAUUAGCUCACCUGUCACGAAGUGACAAGGUGAGCUUUUGUGAUCGCGCGGUGUCCGUCGUCCGUCCGUGCGUGCGUGCGUCCGUCCGUAAACUUUUGCUUGUGACCACUCUAGAGGUCACAUUUUUCAUGGGAUCUUUAUGAAAGUUGGUCAGAAUGUUCAUCUUGAUGAUAUCUAGGUCAAGUUCGAAACUGGGUCACGUGCCGUCAAAAACUAGGUCAGUAGGUCUAAAAAUAGAAAAACCUUGUGACCUCUCUAGAGGCCAUAUAUUUCACAAGAUCUUCAUGAAAAUUGGUCAAAAUGUUCAUCUUGAUGAUAUCUAGGUCAAGUUCGAAACUGGGUCACGUGCCAUCAAAAACUAGGUCAGUAGGUCUAAAAAUAGAAAAAACCUUGUGACCUUUCUAGAGGCCAUAUAUUUCACAAGAUCUUCAUGAAAGUUGGUCAGAACAUUCAUCUUGAUGAUAUCUAGGUCAAGUUCGAAACUGGGUCACAUGCCGUCAAAAACUAGGUCAGUAGGUCAAAUAAUAGAAAAACCUUGUGACCUCUCUAAAGGCCAUAUUUUUCAUGGGAUCUGUAUGAAAGUUGGUCUGAAUGUUCAUCUUGAUGAUAUCUAGGUCAAGUUUGAAACUGGGUCACGUGCAGUCAAAAACUAGGUCAGUAGGUCUAAAAAUAGAAAAACUUUGUGACCUCUCUAGAGGCCAUAUAUUUCAUGAGAUCUUCAUGAAAAUUGGUCAGAAUGUUCACCUUGAUGAUAUCUAGGUCAAGUUCGAAAGUGGGUCACGUGCCAUCAAAAACUAGGUCAGUAGGUCAAAUAAUAGAAAAACCUUGUGACCUCUCUAGAUGCCAUAUUUUUCAUGGGAUCUGUAUGAAAGUUGGUCUGAAUGUUCAUCUUGAUGAUAUCUAGGUCAAGUUAGAAAGUGGGUCACGUGCCAUGAAAAACUAGGUCAGUAGGUCAAAUAAUAGAAAAACCUUGUGACCUCUCUAAAGGCCAUAUUUUUCAUUCAAUCUGUAUGAAAGUUGGUCUGAAUGUUCAUCUUGAUGAUAUCUAGGUCAAGUUCGAAACACGGUCAUGUGCGGUCUAAAACUAGGUCAGUAGGUCUAAAAAUAGAAAAACCUUGUGACCUCUCUAGAGGCCAUACUUGUGAAUGGAUCUCCAUAAAAAUUGGUCAGAAUGUUCACCUUGAUGAUAUCUAGGUCAAGUUUGAAACUGGGUCACGUGCCUUAAAAAAACUAGGUCAGUAGGUCAAAUAAUAAAAAAACCUUGUGACCUCUCUAGAGGCCAUAGUUAUCAUGGGAUCUGUAUGAAAGUUGGUCUGAAUGUUCAGCUUGAUGAUAUCUAGGUCAAGUUUGAAACUGGGUCAGCUGCGGUCAAAAACUAGGUCAGUAGGUCUAAAAUUGUUGAAAUCUUUUGACCUCUGUAGAGGCCAUAUUUUUCAAUGGAUCUUCAUGAAAAUUGAUCUGAAUGUUCACCUUGAUGAUAUCUAGGUCAUUUUUGAAACUGGGUCACGUGCGGUCAAAAACUAGGCCAGUAGGUAUAAAAAUAGAAAAACCUUGUGACCUCUCUAGAGGCCAUAUUUUUCAUGAGAUCUUCAUGAAAAUUAGUGAGAAUGCUCACCUUGAUGAUAUCUAGGUAAAGUUCAAAAUAGGGUCACGUACCUUCGAAAACUAGGUCAAUAGGUCAAAUAAUAGAAAAACCUUGUGACCUCUCUAGAGAUCAUAUUUUUCAAUGGAUAUUCAUGAAAAUUGGUCAGAAUUUUUAUCUUGAUAAUAUCUAGGUCAAGUUCAAAACUGGGUCACAUAAGCUCAAAAACUAGGUCACUAUGUCAAAUAAUAGAAAAAACGACGUCAUACUCAAAACUGGGUCAUGUGGGAAGAGGUGAGCGAUUCAGGACCAUCAUGGUCCUCUUGUUUUUUAUGUAAAUGUUUACCUCCAGUUACAGUCAUUUAAUCAUCGGUCAUUAAACAUAUGUUGGUAUAUUGUUGUAAGUAAAUAGAUUUAUGUUGUUGAAAUGGGGUAAGCUUUAAAUUUGUUGUAAGUUGGUAAAAGUUAUGUUUUAACCUUCACAAUAUGCCAUUUAUUUAUGUAAUAAUUCUUAUGUACUUUACAAAGAAAAUCAAAUUAUUUUUAGCACCUUGUAUUUCGUGUUGUCUAGAUUUUCAGGUAUCUAUAUAUUUUACACCUCCAAUGUACAAGCAAUAAGUGAUGAAGUUUUAUGAAACUAGUUAUAGUUGGACAAACUGUGUUUGCUUUUAAUAUUAGGCACUACAUAUCACAUCAUGUGGACCUAUUUAUAGUGAUCAAGAAAUAUUGAUACCAUAUAAAGAUCUAUUUAACAGAGAUUCAAAAUAAUAAUUAAUAUAUGGCAGAAGCACUCCAAAAUGCCACAAGAAAUCAUUCUUUCUAGCUGUGCCCUUGUAGAAUUAUUCUGCAGGACAUAAUUAAUAUAUUUUUGUGGUGUUUUAAUAAAUUUACACAUGCUUCUGCAAUAUUUUAUUUCUUAAUCAUAGAGGGAGUUCAAUGGGAACAAUUUUGUCACUAGCUAUGAUGUUGUAAAGGAUAUCUUGAAAUCGUCUUGUCUGACGAAAAUAUUUACUAUGACAGUUUCUUCAAUACCCUCAGACCAGUCUGUAAUGACCAUUCCAUUGAAUUGAAAAAAAAAAAACAUCUUUAGGCCAUGACAAAAUGAUAUAUCAUUCUUCCGAAAGUUAAAAUUGAGAGAAAAAUAAAAAAUUUGCUUGCUUGCUCGAUCUUUUUUUGAAAAUUUUCCAAGCAGCUAUGCUUAAGUUUGGAGUGAUCUCAUAAGAAGUAAAAUUGCACACUUUAUAGUGUACUUGUUAACUGGCUUAAAGUUUCAAAAUCCUAUCAGGCAAUUACGAAAAUAAGUUUAUUAUCCCCCAGGGAGGGAUCUUAUCUGAUGGUUUGAUGGAUUUUGUUUCAUCUCAGGUAGCUUGGGAGUCAAGGUUGUUACUAAAUAUAGAAAAAUGGUCUUAGAUCAGUAAUUUAGUAAGGAUUAGUAGCUUUCAAAGAAACUGAAAUUCAAUUGCAUUUAAGUGUUUUUUUAUAAGCAGAGAAUGCUCUUAAAAUUGUGAAACCUUUAUCCUGUCUGGAGGAGAAUACAAAUUUACUGACUUUGCUUGUAUUAUAAAAUUUCUAAUUUUUGUGUACAAUAUAUUUUUCUGACUGGAUACUAUUGAAAAUUUUUAUUAUUUUCAGGUUUUUAGCUGGUACAGUUGAAAUGCAGAUUUGAUAUACUUAAAAUUAAAUAAUUAUAUAUUUUGUCUGUAUAGGUAGUUAUUUUAUUAGACAAUAUAUUUUUACCUCAGUUGUUGAUUUUAAUGAACUAAGUCAGGGAUGAAUAUACUAUGAUACAUACUGUGUUCGGGCAUAGAAUGGGACAUUUGGAGUCUCUUGAGUGACCAAGUGGUUAAGGUCACUGCCUGAAAUACUUGCUUAUUUUUGCUGCCGGCGUUCAAAACUUUGCUUGGGGUGUAGUAUUCUUGCAUGUAAGGAAGUCGUACAUCUGGCUUGCAGAAGGCAUGUGGUUCUGUCCAGGUUAACUCCAGUAACUAUAUAAACAUACCUUCAUCAGACAGGACCUGAACUCUAUUGAAUGUACUUUAAGGCAGGGUUGACUGGUUCCCGGCUUGUAUUGGUUGUGUAAGCAGAGCAAAAGCAGUUUUACUUAUUGCUAGGAUCAAGACUGUGACUGGACAAUUACUUUAACCUUUACCCUUCUAAAUUUCCAAUUAAUAUACCAAUUAUUACUCAAAGGGGUUUUCACUGAAAAUUAACUGACUGAAUAGCGAACAGUGCUGACCAAGAUGAGCCUGCACAUCAUGCAGAUGCGGCAGAAUCACUUGCCACCAGCAGGCUAAAGAUUAAAGGUGGGAAUAGUUAAACGAGUAUGUUCAGCUGCACUCAAGGAUAGACUGUAAUUAUUGAAUAGACUGAGUUGCCUCAUGGAACUAUUUUUGAAAGUUUAAUUAUCGGUUAUGGUUAGAAUUUUAUAUUUUUAUCUUUAAAAUAUGUAUAGAUGGAAACUACACCAGUGCAAUAACGUUACAUCGUAUUUUCACCCCAAGCAUGACUAUUCAAAUUUCUGGGAGAAAUUCUGUUUAUAGGCAGGUUAUUGUUGAAAUAUCUAUGGAUGAACUAAAUGCAAAGGCAGGGUUUUUAUAAAUUGUGAUGAAACCUGACUUCAACAGUUACGAUUUUUUUUUUACAUUUUUUGUGAGAAAGAGACAAAAAUGUAUAGUUAUGGGCAUAGAGAUGUGUGUCUGAUGAAAGUCACAAAAUACUUUAAUAAAGUUUUGUGUUACAGGUAAAUCUACUUAUUUUGAAUUUGAAAUUCAGGCUUAACAAGAACAUUGUGACUAUGUACAGCUUAACUGUGUAAAAAUUGCACUUUUCGUAAUUUUAAUACCUCUGAAACUUAUUGAAAUAUUGAAAUCCUAUUAAAAGUGUGAAAUCUCUACCUCCAUUUUUAGCUGAUCUGAACCAAGGUUCAGGGUGAGCUAUGAGUAUUGUUGAAUAGUCCAACCUCCAGGGAUGAUCAGUGUCAAAACUUACACGUCUUCAAAGCUACUGGCCAAAAUUACACCAGACCUUGGCCUGUACUGUCCUUAGAAGUUAGGUAUUCAAAUUUGUUCAAAUGGUGCCACCUGGUUGUCUGAGCUUUAAGUAGGAAAAAACAUUAAACAGCUUCUUCACAUGAUCCUCGCCUCACAUGAGCAUGAAUGUUUACCUCACAUAAACAUCUUAACAUGAAUGUUCACCUCACAUGAAUGAUAACCUCACAUUUUAAUGGAGGUUAACCAAACUUGGUCAGAAGCAAUUUUAUGUGGUCUUUCCUUAAUAAUGGACAAAAGUUUGCCUCACUUGAGGGAUGUUUACCAAAUUUUAUCAGAAGAAUCCUUGCACAGACCUUGAUUUUUUUUCUACUUUUUCUGCAUGACUGCCCCAUUCUUGUCUUGGUAAUACAUAUAUCUGUCAUUUUUUUUAGAUGAAUAUUACAUGACAUUGUAGAUCUUUAAUGAUACAGUGUGUCAUGACAGAUUUGCAAGGUCAAAAUGUCAAGGUCAGGUGAGCAAUUUUACAGUAGUAAUUUAACCUUAAUUUUCAGAUGGCUAUGUGUAUCUAUGUCCUUAACAGUUAACAUUUUAGUUUGCUCUGAAAAUGAUUACAAGACUAUGUUUUUCUGAUAUAUUUUGUAAUUGUAUGUUUAUAUAUAUAAAUGCAUUUGAAACUAUUGAAAUAUUUAGAUAAAUUUUGAUUUUUGUUCAAAUUAUAGUAAAAUGAAAUACCUACUAAUUUUAGGUAAUACGACAUAAUAAAUUACAUUUUAGGCAACACCAAAUUGAAAAAUUAUUCAUCAGAUUUUUCAAAAAUAUUGAGCCAUUGUUUUUGGGUUUUUUAGCUCACCUGUCACAAAGUGACAAGGUGAGCUUUUGUGAUCGCGCGGUGUCCGUCGUCCGUACGUGCGUGCGUCUGUAAACUUUUGCUUGUGACCACUCUAGAGGUCACAUUUUUCUUGGGAUCUUUAUGAAAGUUGGUCAGAAUGUUCAUGAUAUCUAGGUCAAGUUCGAAACUGGGUCAUGUGCCGUCAAAAACUAGGUCAGUAGGUCUAAAAAUAGAAAAACCUUGUGACCUCUCUAGAGGCCAUAUAUUUCACAAGAUCUUCAUGAAACUUGGUCAGAAUGUUCACCUUGAUGAUAUCUAGAUCAAGUUUGAAACUGGGUCACGUGCCGUCAAAAACUAGGUCAGUAGGUCUAAAAAUAGAAAAACCUUGUGACCUCUCUAGAGGCCAUAUAUUUCACAAGAUCUUCAUGAAAAUUGGUCAGAAUGUUCACCUUGAUAAUAUCUAGGUCAAGUUCGAAACUGGGUCAACUGCGGUCAAAAACUAGGUCAGUAGGUCUAAAAUUAUUAAAAUCUUUUGACCUCUCUAGAGACCAUAUUUUUCAAUGGAUCUUCAUGAAAAUUGGUCAGAAUUUUUAUCUUGAUAAUAUCUAGGUCAAGUUCAAAACUGGGUCACAAGAGCUCAAAAAAUAGGUCACUAUGUCAAAUAAUAGAAAAAACGACGUCAUACUCAAAACUGGGUCAUGUGGAAAGAUGUGAGCGAUUCAGGACCAUCAUGGUCCUCUUGUUUGCUUUUAUUUUUGAGGAAAAUAUUUUAGAAUUAUAAUUAUAAUUGUACAGUGUGUAAGAAGUAGCAUAUACCAGAAGUUCACAAGAUGUUUAAAUGGUGCAAACACAAGCAAAAAAAUGCUUAAGAUUUACAAAAUAACAGGAGCAGCAAAUCUGAUGAAUAACAUUUUAAUUGGGUGAAACCCUAUUUGAGUUGUUAUAUUUUUAUAAUACAUUCAAUAAACUUGUUGAUACUAAAUUUGAAAAUAAAGAGUUUGCUUUUGGU
RNA transcript from Mercenaria mercenaria, 17262 nucleotides. It is a transcript of the gene named 6-phosphofructo-2-kinase/fructose-2,6-bisphosphatase-like, with no coding region annotated. NCBI's taxonomy places the organism in Eukaryota, Metazoa, Mollusca, Bivalvia, Venerida, Veneridae. The transcript is spliced from 16 exons. The record is from RefSeq and is a predicted model, not a curated record.